This is a long non-coding RNA of Carassius gibelio (silver crucian carp), 710 nucleotides long. RefSeq lists it as uncharacterized. The transcript is spliced from 2 exons. The record is from RefSeq and is a predicted model, not a curated record. NCBI's taxonomy places the organism in Eukaryota, Metazoa, Chordata, Actinopteri, Cypriniformes, Cyprinidae.
AAGAUUCAUGAAUGGUAGAAUGGGGGCUUUUCGUUUUCGUCACAAGGGCAAUGUCAAAGCGGAUUACAUGAAGAAGGCGGCUACUACUGCUUUAAUUCAUGUUUUCUAUAUAUUAUUCGCGCGUGUCUUCCAAAGGUCCUGACCUGUUACGGCCAGACUAGAGUGGUGACCUGAUUUAAAAAGCAGCAGCCUGUGGCCAAUUGGGGGGGUCCCUCAGUUUCAAGCCAAGCCCACAGGAAGGAGCUUGUGUGAGGGAUAUAUGCAGAGAAUGCAAGUCUUUGGAGAUCUGGGCCUGUGUGGGAAGAAGGGGUAGGCCCUUUCUGGUCCCCUGCUGAUACAGAAGGGAAAGCCGAGCUCUUGGUGAGAUGGUGACCCUCGACCCUUCUUCAGAGAACUGACAGGAGCGGCCCUGAACUCUCACCCAUGGGACAAACUAGCGAUGAAGCGUGACCUGUUGCUGGGGGCGUGGACCUGCCAUUCAGGCAACAAGCAUUCUGGUCAUUCCACGCGCCAUUCCCCUUGCAUAGCAGACUUCCCCCUCCCAUGAGAACCCACACCAGUACCCCAUUAUCCAAAACACACAAACACAAAAAAACAUCACAAAGUUCCCAUUACUCACCAUCAGUGCAAGACACAAUAACCUUGAUAGAGCCUUAAUCGAGAAAAAAAGCAAGAAAGGAGAAAUAAACAUAUGAAAUUGGUACCAGAAA